AUUCACAUGACUAUUAUUAACAUGACUUAUCCCAUGUCCUCACGAACAAAAGUAACUACUCAGAAGACAUAAUCAUAAUCAUGACCAGAGUUGUACUGAAUAGCAUCAAGGAUCUGAACAUAAACUCUUCCACCAAGUAAUCCAACUAGCAUCAACUACAAAGAGUAAUCAAUACUACUAGCAACCUUACAAGUACCAAUCGGAGUUGCGGGACGAAGGUUGGUUACAAGAGAUGAAGUAGGGAUUGGAGAUAGAUGGUGCCGAUGAAGAUGUUGAUGAAGAUGCCUCCCCUC
This 293-nucleotide long non-coding RNA is filed under the name Hordeum vulgare. RNAcentral's name for it is "long non-coding RNA (HVUL_LNC003581)". Lineage: Eukaryota; Viridiplantae; Streptophyta; Magnoliopsida; Poales; Poaceae. The record is from RNAcentral.